This is a long non-coding RNA of Paramormyrops kingsleyae, 988 nucleotides long. RefSeq lists it as uncharacterized. Lineage: Eukaryota; Metazoa; Chordata; Actinopteri; Osteoglossiformes; Mormyridae. The record is from RefSeq and is a predicted model, not a curated record.
CGCGGGGAAUCUGUGCAGCUCGAGCGUGCGACCUCAUUUUUCUGUCCUGAGAAGAGAACGGAGCAGUUGGUUUGAGUAAAGCAGCAGUAUGAUGUAACCCACAUUUAAAAAACCUAAAAAAGGUAACUUCCUCUUUAAGACUCAUGGUGGCGUUUAUAAAGCGUCCAGGACGGGGAGAAGAACUGCGGGAAAAACAGUGAAACCCGCUAAACAGAUUUUUAGCAACCCAAAGGAUUACUAGCACUGGAUUACGACGGUUUUUGGUCAGUGUCCACCGUUUGAGAUGCGAAGCAGUACAAGCCACUCACGGAAACGGUGGCGAGCUAAACCCACGGAUCGCGUACAUGGAUCUGCAUCGACCUUUUCUUUUUCUACUGAAGAAAAACCGAUGCUCAAGGUCGGACUGUGUUGAUACAGCUUCAACAGUGCGGUAGGAUAUAUGUUUAUUUCAUCUGGAGGACUGAACUGAUAUUCCUUUUUUUUUUUUACUUGGACUCGGACUUUCUUAAAAACAGUGCCUGAAUUCCUGUACUUCCAUAAUUGUUGGUGUGCAAUGUUUGAUUUUUUGUUUGUUUAUGUAAACUAAGGAGUAUUUCCCGUGUUUUACCUGAAAAGGGUAAUACGUGAAAGGGUAGAUUUACCUGGGUAUAAUAUUCAAAAGUGACUACUUACAUUGACCGCUCUCAUCGAACCUAAAUCUGGCCCUGUAGCAUUACUUGCAGUGGUAUACAAACAUAAAAGUGUUACAAAAACAUCAGGUUUUUUCUUUAUAUGAAACCGCUGGGUCAGUAUUAUUAUAUGUUGGAGCUCUUGUAAAGUUGACUGCGAUUACAACAGAGUACAUGUGGAGUCUCCCGCGGUAACCGCGAAGCUUAUCGCUGUGUUAUCACUAGCCGAAAUGCUAAUAUUAAACGAGGUGUUUAUUUUAAUGUGAACGAAUUGUUUAACAUAUGAAGUAAGUAAAAUAAAAUGAGAACCUUGUCAGUUA